CCUUUACCUUAUCCUUUGGCAUAGGGUUUGGCCUGUUUGUCCAAUACAGAAGGCUGAAGGGCACUGUUGGCAUUUGGUGGUAUACAGAAAGUUAGAAGAUGAGCAACUAAAUAGUCCUGCGAUGGUAUGUUUGAUGUUGUUGGGGCCAGGAAUGGUGUUUCCGGGUGUAUGUGGAAGUAAAGUUGGCAUCUGGGUUUAUUGCAGGCUCUGGUACAAAGCAGAAGGGGAUCCUUUCUAGACCUGGGAGACCCUUGAUCAUCUUGGUCGCCCUCCUCUGCACACAUUCCAGCUUGUCAAAAUCCUUCUUAAAUUGUGGGUGGCCAAAGGUCUGGAAACCAAACCUUAUGAGGAACAGUUGAGGGAGUUGGGGAGACAUGAGAACCACCAUCUCAAGGACUAUCACAUGGAAGAUGGAGCAAGCUUGCUUUCUCCUGCUCCAGAGGGUAGGACUCGAACCCAUGGCGUCAAGCUCCAAGGAAGGAGAUUCUGACCUUAAGGUCCACAAAUAGCAACACCCUAGAGGUCCCGGGCCCUAAGGAAGUCAGAUGAGCCUCAACCAGGGCCAGGGCCUUUUCAACACUGGCCCCGGCCUGGUGGAACGCUCUGUCUCAUGAGACCAGGGCCCUGCAGGAUCUGAUUUCUUUCCGCAGGGCCUGUAAGACAGAGUUGUUCCGCCUGGCCUUUGGCUUGGAAUCAACUUGAUCCCCUUCCCCUCUUUCCUUUUCCUUCUGUGAUGGAACUCCUAUUUGGGGACUUCCCUGGCUUUUUUUCUGGCCUACCUAGGACCAGUCUGGAUAGUUGACCUUGGUGAAGAUUUGACGUUUUCAUGCCCCCAAAAAGUUUUUGAUUUGAGUUUCUACUGAAAUGAGGCUGCAUUUUAAUGUUGUAUUUUAAUGUUGUUUUUAAGUUGUAUUUUAAUCAAUUGUUUUUAUACCUGGUGUUAGCCGCCCUGAGCCCGGUCUUGGCUGGGGAGGGCGGGGUACAAAAAAAUUAUAUUUAUGAUGAUUAUUAUUAUGAUUAUUAAAUAUCAGGAAGAACUUUCUGGGAGCAGGAGCUGGAACGGUCUCACAAAAGAGACAGUGGGCUCUCAUUUUUGGGAGGUUUUUAAGCAGAGGCUGGAUGGCCAACUUUCAAGGAUGCUUUAGUUGAGAUUCCUGCCCCACAGGGGGGGUUAGACUAGAUGACCCCUGGAGGACCCUAACUCCACGAUUCUACGAUUCUUACAGAAAUAAACGACGGGCCUUAAGAACCCAAAUGUGAGAAUCUGACUCACAGGGUGGUGGUAUUCAAGCAAGUUUCACUCAAGAGCAGACCCAGUGAAAUUCAGGGGCAUUAGGUCUACUUUAAGUAAGACUUAGUUGCAUGCCAGCCGUAGUCCCAAAGCUUUGAUGGUUGUCGUUGCUAUUAAUCCACAGAUGUUUCCAUUUGGGGACGACGUAUCCUCCGGCCUAAGGACGCGCUGCCACCAGCCGGAUGCUCAGCGGAAAAGAUUUCUAUUUACAGAGUUAAAUCUCUGCGGC
Molecule: non-coding RNA, 1520 nt
Organism: Podarcis lilfordi (Lilford's wall lizard)
Lineage: Eukaryota; Metazoa; Chordata; Lepidosauria; Squamata; Lacertidae
Source: the annotation of a GenBank genome assembly